Molecule: ribosomal RNA, 2885 nt
Rfam family: Bacterial large subunit ribosomal RNA
UGAGGCGAACGAGGGGAACUGAAACAUCUAAGUACCCUUAGGAAAAGAAAUCAACCGAGAUUCCCCAAGUAGCGGCGAGCGAACGGGGAUUAGCCCUUAAGUCUUUGGGGUGUUAGUGGAAUGUGUUGGAAAGCACAGCGGCACAGGGUGAUAGCCCCGUACAUGUAAACUAACCAGAGAUGAAAUCGAGUAAGGCGGCACACGUGAUAUGUUGUCUGAAUAUGGGGGGACCAUCCUCCAAGGCUAAAUACUCCUGACUGACCGAUAGUGAACCAGUACCGUGAGGGAAAGGCGAAAAGAACCCCUGUGAGGGGAGUGAAAUAGAACCUGAAACCGUAUACGUACAAGCAGUGGAAGCGGUUCUUGAGACCGUGACUGCGUACCUUUUGUAUAAUGGGUCAGCGACUUACAUUUAGUAGCGAGGUUAAGCGAAUAGCGGAGCCGUAGGGAAACCGAGUGUUAACUGCGCGUAUAGUUGCUAGGUGUAGACCCGAAACCCGGUGAUCUAGCCAUGGGCAGGUUGAAGGUUGAGUAACAUCAACUGGAGGACCGAACCGACUAAUGUUGAAAAAUUAGCGGAUGACUUGUGGCUGGGGGUGAAAGGCCAAUCAAACCGGGAGAUAUCUGGUUCUCCUCGAAAGCUAUUUAGGUAGCGCCUCGGACGAACACCUUUGGGGGUAGAGCACUGUUAAGGCUAGGGGGUCAUCCCGACUUACCAACCCUUUGCAAACUCCGAAUACCAAAGAGUGCUAUCCGGGAGACAGACGGCGGGUGCUAACGUCCGUCGUCAAAAGGGAAACAACCCAGACCGUCAGCUAAGGUCCCAAAGUAAUUGCUAAGUGGGAAACGAUGUGGGAAGGCUUAGACAGCUAGGAUGUUGGCUUAGAAGCAGCCAUCAUUUAAAGAAAGCGUAAUAGCUCACUAGUCGAGUCGGCCUGCGCGGAAGAUGUAACGGGGCUAAGCAAUUCACCGAAGCUACGGGUACUGAUGCUUGCAUCAGUGCGGUAGAGGAGCGUUCUGUAAGCCGUUGAAGGCGAAGGGGUAACCCACGCUGGAGGUAUCAGAAGUGCGAAUGCUGACAUGAGUAACGAUAAAGGGGGUGAAAAACCCCCUCGCCGAAAGACCAAGGGUUCCUGUCCAACGUUAAUCGGGGCAGGGUGAGUCGACCCCUAAGGCGAGGCUGAAAGGCGUAGUCGAUGGGAAACGGGUUAAUAUUCCCGUACUUCUGCUAACUGCGAUGGAGAGACGGAGAAGGCUAGGCCGGCGCGGCGUUGGUUGUCCGCGUUUAAGGUAGUAGGUGGUGUGCUUAGGCAAAUCCGGGCACACAUACACUGAGAGCUGAUGACGAGUCCCUACGGGGAUGAAGUGGUUGAUGCCAUGCUUCCAGGAAAAUCUUCUAAGCUUCAGGUUAGCAGGAAUCGUACCCCAAACCGACACANUGUCCGCGUUUAAGGUAGUAGGUGGUGUGCUUAGGCAAAUCCGGGCACACAUACACUGAGAGCUGACGACGAGUCCCUAAGGGGAUGAAGUGGUUGAUGCCAUGCUUCCAGGAAAAUCUUCUAAGCUUCAGGUUAGCAGGAAUCGUACCCCAAACCGACACAGGUGGUCGGGUAGAGAAUACCAAGGCGCUUGAGAGAACUCGGCUGAAGGAACUAGGCAAAAUGGUACCGUAACUUCGGGAGAAGGUACGCUCCUGUUGGUGACGAGACUUGCUCUCUGAGCUGACGGGAGUCGCAGAUACCAGGUGGCUGCAACUGUUUAUCAAAAACACAGCACUGUGCAAAAUCGCAAGAUGACGUAUACGGUGUGACGCCUGCCCGGUGCCGGAAGGUUAAUUGAUUGGGUUAUCUUCGGAGAAGCUCAUGAUCGAAGCCCCGGUAAACGGCGGCCGUAACUAUAACGGUCCUAAGGUAGCGAAAUUCCUUGUCGGGUAAGUUCCGACCUGCACGAAUGGCGUAAUGAUGGCCACGCUGUCUCCAGCCGAGACUCAGUGAAGUUGAAAUUGCGGUGAAGAUGCCGUAUACCCGCGGCUAGACGGAAAGACCCCGUGAACCUUUACUAUAGCUUGGCACUGAACAUUGACCCUACAUGUGUAGGAUAGGUGGGAGACUAUGAAGAUGAGACGCCAGUCUUGUUGGAGUCAACCUUGAAAUACCACCCUUGUAGUGUUGAUGUUCUAACCUGGGCCCCUAAUCGGGGUUAGGGACAGUGCCUGGUGGGUAGUUUGACUGGGGCGGUCUCCUCCCAAAGAGUAACGGAGGAGCACGAAGGUUGGCUAAGUACGGUCGGACAUCGUACGGUUAGUGUAAUGGCAUAAGCCAGCUUAACUGCGAGACAGACACGUCGAGCAGGUGCGAAAGCAGGUCAUAGUGAUCCGGUGGUUCUGAAUGGAAGGGCCAUCGCUCAACGGAUAAAAGGUACUCCGGGGAUAACAGGCUGAUACCGCCCAAGAGUUCAUAUCGACGGCGGUGUUUGGCACCUCGAUGUCGGCUCAUCACAUCCUGGGGCUGAAGUCGGUCCCAAGGGUAUGGCUGUUCGCCAUUUAAAGUGGUACGCGAGCUGGGUUCAGAACGUCGUGAGACAGUUCGGUCCCUAUCUGCCGUGGGCGUUGGAUGAUUGAGGGGAGCUGCUCCUAGUACGAGAGGACCGGAGUGGACGAACCGCUGGUGUUCGGGUUGUCAUGCCAAUGGCAUUGCCCGGUAGCUACGUUCGGAAUCGAUAACCGCUGAAAGCAUCUAAGCGGGAAGCGAGCCCCAAGAUGAGUCAUCCCUAGGGCCUAGAGCCCUCUGAAGAGCCGUUCGAGACCAGGACGUUGAUAGGCAGGGUGUGUAAGCGUUGCGAGGCGUUGAGCUAACCUGUACUAAUGACUCGAGAGGCUUAACCAU